Long non-coding RNA from Eriocheir sinensis (Chinese mitten crab), 1202 nucleotides. RefSeq lists it as uncharacterized. The record is from RefSeq and is a predicted model, not a curated record. Lineage: Eukaryota; Metazoa; Arthropoda; Malacostraca; Decapoda; Varunidae. The transcript has 4 exons.
GCCUCCACGCCCACACAGUGCCCCCACGCCUCCACGCCCACACAGUGCCCCCACCCCGCCACGCCCACACAGUGCCCCCACACCUCCACGCCCACCCAGUGCCCCCACGCCUCCACGCCCACACAUCACCCCUGGUGCUGGUGCAGCAGCGAGGGUCUGAGGCGGGUGCCGUGCUGCGUCCUCUCUGCCGCUGACUUCUGUUGCAGUGGAGGCUGCAGGGCCGGGCAUCAGCCUGAGGGGCCAGGACCAGCAGGAGCAGCCUGCCACUGCUGGAAGGAGCUGAGAUGAGACCAGACUCAGCCCUCCAGUGAGCCCAGGAGACCACCAAGGGGACACCCACGUACCUCAUCACCUGGGGGGAGGACGCAUGGUGACUGUGGGUGAGUGAAGCAACCCACCCCAGUGUAUGCUCAGGCACAAGGCUACGUCAGGUCAGGGGCUGCCUCAAGAACAGACUCUUGCAGGGAAGGAGACAGAGACGAGACCACUGAGCCGAGGAGACCAGUCAGGCCUUCAAGAUGCUCCCUGGAUGCUGAGGAGACGAGAUGAGACUGAGACAAGUCCUGUUGGGAAGAAGAUUACGGGGAGAUUAAUUGAGGCAAGGAAGGGCAAAGAGGGAGAGAGAGAUGAGGAGAUGGAACUCUCUCUCACCUGUAUUUCUAUAAAAGAUAAGACAAAUAAAGUGUGGAAAUAUAUAUUACAAUGGAUAUAUUUAAACCUGGUCAAAUGUGUGUUCCUUUAGGUUCACAGUACAGAGGAAGGGUCACAAAACUACCCCUGGAAAUGCCCACAACUCCUAGGAAAGCCUUGUCAAAUGUGUGUUUCGUUAGGUUCACAGUACAGAGGAAGGGUCACAAAACUACCCCUGGAAAUGCCCACAACUCCUAGGAAAGCCUUGUCAAAUGUGUGUUUCGUUAGGUUCACAGUACAGAGGAAGGGUCACAAAACUACCCCUGGAAAUGCCCACAACUCCUAGGAAAGCCUGGUCAAAUAUGUGUGGCGGUCGAAAUGUGGGCCGUGAGAGAGAGAGAGAGAGAGAGAGAUAAUGUUCCAUAAUGCUUUCAGACUCAGAGCAAAGUGAGGAUGACUCAUUUUCUCAACAGCAACACUCGCCUCAAAGUGAAUAAGUUAACAUGUCACCCGAGUAAUACGUUCACCCGGAUCACAGUCUGUUAACUCCAGAACGGCAAUGAGUCAGUUUU